CGCCCUUAGAGUUUGAUCCUGGCUCAGAGCGAACGCUGGCGGCAUGCUUAACACAUGCAAGUCGCACGAAGGUUUCGGCCUUAGUGGCGGACGGGUGAGUAACGCGUAGGUAUCUAUCCAUGGGUGGGGGAUAACACUGGGAAACUGGUGCUAAUACCGCAUGACACCUGAGGGUCAAAGGCGUAAGUCGCCUGUGGAGGAGCCUGCGUUUGAUUAGCUAGUUGGUGGGGUAAAGGCCUACCAAGGCGAUGAUCAAUAGCUGGUUUGAGAGGAUGAUCAGCCACACUGGGACUGAGACACGGCCCAGACUCCUACGGGAGGCAGCAGUGGGGAAUAUUGGACAAUGGGGGCAACCCUGAUCCAGCAAUGCCGCGUGUGUGAAGAAGGUCUUCGGAUUGUAAAGCACUUUCGACGGGGACGAUGAUGACGGUACCCGUAGAAGAAGCCCCGGCUAACUUCGUGCCAGCAGCCGCGGUAAUACGAAGGGGGCUAGCGUUGCUCGGAAUGACUGGGCGUAAAGGGCGUGUAGGCGGUUUGUACAGUCAGAUGUGAAAUCCCCGGGCUUAACCUGGGAGCUGCAUUUGAUACGUGCAGACUAGAGUGUGAGAGAGGGUUGUGGAAUUCCCAGUGUAGAGGUGAAAUUCGUAGAUAUUGGGAAGAACACCGGUGGCGAAGGCGGCAACCUGGCUCAUUACUGACGCUGAGGCGCGAAAGCGUGGGGAGCAAACAGGAUUAGAUAUCCUGGUAGUCCACGCUGUAAACGAUGUGUGCUAGAUGUUGGGUGACUUAGUCAUUCAGUGUC
Molecule: ribosomal RNA, 802 nt
Filed under: uncultured Acetobacter sp.
Lineage: Bacteria; Pseudomonadati; Pseudomonadota; Alphaproteobacteria; Acetobacterales; Acetobacteraceae
Description: bacterial SSU rRNA
Rfam family: Bacterial small subunit ribosomal RNA
Source: RNAcentral